GUGCUUGAUCACACCACCCUGAAUGUGCCCAAUCUCAUCGGAUCUUAGAAGCUAAGCAGCUUGGAGCUUAGUCAAUACUCGGAUGAGUUGACCACC
Molecule: ribosomal RNA, 96 nt
Filed under: Petromyzon marinus (sea lamprey)
Lineage: Eukaryota; Metazoa; Chordata; Hyperoartia; Petromyzontiformes; Petromyzontidae
Source: RNAcentral